CCUACGGGACGCAGCAGUAGGGAAUCUUCGGCAAUGGACGAAAGUCUGACCGAGCAACGCCGCGUGAGUGAGGAAGGUUUUCGGACCGUAAAACUCUGUUGUUAGAGAAGAACAAGGACGUUAGUAACUGAACGUCCCCUGACGGUAUCUAACCAGAAAGCCACGGCUAACUACGUGCCAGCAGCCGCGGUAAUACGUAGGUGGCAAGCGUUGUCCGGAUUAUUGGGCGUAAAGCGAGCGCAGGCGGUUUCUUAAGUCUGAUGUGAAAGCCCCCGGCUCAACCGGGGAGGGUCAUUGGAAACUGGGAGACUUGAGUGCAGAAGAGGAGGGUGGAAUUCCAUGUGUAGCGGUGAAAUGCGUAGAUAUAUGGAGGAACACCAGUGGCGAAGGCGGCUCUCUGGUCUGUAACUGGCGCUGAGGCGCGAAAGCGUGGGGAGCAAACAGGAUUAGAUACCCUGGUAGUC
This 464-nucleotide ribosomal RNA is filed under the name uncultured bacterium. Its description in RNAcentral is "bacterial SSU rRNA". It matches the Rfam family "Bacterial small subunit ribosomal RNA", at positions 338 to 795 of the family's 1533-position model. The record is from RNAcentral.